Rhinopithecus roxellana (golden snub-nosed monkey) is the source of this 394-nucleotide long non-coding RNA. RefSeq lists it as uncharacterized. The record is from RefSeq and is a predicted model, not a curated record. Lineage: Eukaryota; Metazoa; Chordata; Mammalia; Primates; Cercopithecidae. The transcript is spliced from 3 exons.
GAAGGGGAGGGUGAGAAUUAAUGCCUGUAUACCAUGAUCCUUAACCAGAAGUCAUUUUGUGCUCUUUCAACUGCUUUCUGCAAAUUCGUAUUCCACAGCGUAGGAGAGAUGGUGGUGGACACAGUGGGUAGGAGAGUCUGUCCAUAUCCCAAAGGUGUGCCAAAAGGAUUUAUCAAGAAGGGGAUGAUGGAGGUUGCUCUUCCAAAAGUGUCCAGAGUCACUGAGACCUGACCUGUGUAUUUUGUAUUCCAUCCCUGUCAGGACUGGAAAAGCCCACAUCUGUGGCUUGGAAGAUAAGGAAGGUGUUAUUCCCAGUUGGCCACAUCUCUAGAAAACAGAAAAUUCUGCAUUUCCCCCAGUAACAAAAUUGUUCAUUGCUUAUCCGUAGUGUAUU